Molecule: ribosomal RNA, 513 nt
Filed under: Mycobacterium sp. N233
Lineage: Bacteria; Bacillati; Actinomycetota; Actinomycetes; Mycobacteriales; Mycobacteriaceae
Description: bacterial SSU rRNA
Rfam family: Bacterial small subunit ribosomal RNA
Source: RNAcentral
UGGAGAGUUUGAUCCUGGCUCAGACGACGCUGGCGGCGUGCUUAACACAUGCAAGUCGAACGGAAAGGCCUCUUCGGAGGUACUCGAGUGGCGAACGGGUGAGUAACACGUGGGCAAUCUGCCCUGCUCUUCGGGAUAAGCCUGGGAAGCUGGGUCUAAUACCGAAUAUGACCUUUAGACGCAUGUCUUUUGGUGGAAAGCUUUUGCGGUGUGGGAUGGGCCCGCGGCCUAUCAGCUAGUUGGUGGGGUGAUGGCCUACCAAGGCGACGACGGGUAGCCGGCCUGAGAGGGUGUCCGGCCACACUGGGACUGAGAUACGGCCCANACUCCUACGGGAGGCAGCAGUGGGGAAUAUUGCACAAUGGGCGCAAGCCUGAUGCAGCGACGCCGCGUGGGGGAUGACGGCCUUCGGGUUGUAAACCUCUUUCACCAUCNGACGAAGGUUCGGGNUUUCUCGGAUUGACGGUAGGUGGAGAAGAAGCACCGGCCAACUACGUGCCAGCAGCCGCGGUA